AAAAAAAAGGAAAACGUUCUCACUUCCAGUACAACUGAAAAUCCUUAAAUGCUACCACGUUCUUGUUCUGAUCUUCGAAGUUCUAACACCGUACGAAGCCGUAGCCUUCUAUUUUUCUUCCUGUUUUUUGGGGUACAUGGGAGGGGCUGGAAGCUCAUCAGCUAUUUACCAGUGUAGGGAUUGCAACAUCGGAGGGGGUCUGAAAAUUGGCAUGUUUUGGAGCUUAAAGUUCGUCGGUAAAUCGGUCAUGCUAAACAACGAUUUGUGUCAAUAUCGAUGGUACAGAUGAGUUAAAGAAAGAGUGUAGAGGGGACAGAUGAAGGGUGUUGAGUGGUGCUGUGAUGAUUUUAGGUCUUGGAAGUCGACUGCUCACCCGUUUCAGUGCAAGUUCUUCAAACGACAUCAUCAAAGCUGCAGAUCACACACUGGGAUGUUAGCCGGUGCUCUUGUAGUGAGGGUAGAGGUCUCAGCCAGACCUUUGGCGAUGGCAUUUAUAGCAAUGUGACCUGCAAAUUGCUCUUUUAGUGCCAACGCUGUAAGCCAUGUCACAAACAUGUAUGCUCUUGAUCUUUUUGCUAUUACCACUCUCGACUCUUGAGCGAAUUGAAUGUCAGGUUUCUCGAGGGUUUAGACGUUCUGUAUUAAAUAUCUGCUGUUUAAAUGGAUGGAGGGUGUUUUAGAC
Long non-coding RNA from Coffea arabica (coffee), 682 nucleotides. RefSeq lists it as uncharacterized. Lineage: Eukaryota; Viridiplantae; Streptophyta; Magnoliopsida; Gentianales; Rubiaceae. The record is from RefSeq and is a predicted model, not a curated record.